Molecule: long non-coding RNA, 1796 nt
Organism: Oncorhynchus nerka (sockeye salmon)
Lineage: Eukaryota; Metazoa; Chordata; Actinopteri; Salmoniformes; Salmonidae
Exons: 3
Source: RefSeq, a predicted model, not a curated record
UCUCUUCAUCUCGCUCUCUCUCUCUCUUUCUCUCUUUCUCCCUCUCUCUUUAUCCCCCUCUCUCUCUAUCUCUCACAUGUAGACAUUCUGUGAAUCAGUGCACGGACCAGAUUUGAAGAUAAAAAAACAAGACACCUUGAAGAUCUGGAUACAAUUAUCUCCGAUACAGCCGGUUACCUGCUGUGGUGCCUGCUGGGGUUUUGCUCCAACCCUACCUGUGCUCCAAAACAGGCCCCUAUGAAUGAGGCCCUACUGGCGGUGCAUCCCCCGCAGCGCAUGGUUCCCCUGACUGCCUCUUCCAGCUGGCUCAUUGUCAGGACCCCGUGCAGUGCUCCCUGGAAUGCACCUGGCAAGGCUGGGGAUAGGAACCGCAGACACAGAUAAGGACCAAGAGCACCACACCAAUGUUGUUUUGAAAACCUGACUGACGUUGUGUCAUCUGACGCUGGAGGACUGCCCAGAUAUACUGAGACGGUUAUAACACUGCAACGAUGACUCAUGAAAAAGGCCAGAGGUCUGAGAGAGACCGGUAGGGGGUCAUAUAUUCUGAUCUGUUAUUGCAUCGCUCAGGUUUAAGAUAAGAUGGUUUAAUAAAAUAUGUUACUCAGUGAAACCAUGGUAACCUUUUUUUGAAUAUAGUGUUUGCUCCCAGGACACUCAUGUGGGUGACCCCCCUCCAUUUCCAUGUUUGUAUGCUUUCCACUCCACUGCUUUGUCCAUCAGUUAUACACAGCUGAUGCCCUCUGGCCGUCUGAUCUGAUCCCCCUCAUCCUAACCCUCUCCUGGGUCUCCCAGCCCAUUGAUUCAUCAGGUCUCUCCUGGCCCUUUUAGACCAGCCACAUACUGACAGUGUUAGGGUUAUAUCAUUCAGACGAUCAAUACAGGAGAAAAAAACAAUGAUUGCCCCUGUGCUAACCUAUGGUGCCUCUUCUAUCACUUAGGGCCUAUAAUGCUAGCUCUCAGAUCCAUUUAGACCGUAUCUGCUCUGUCCAGUGUUUUGACAAUUCAUCUGUAAGACAGUAAACCUCAGCUCAGUAAUAUUAUAUUUAUAUACUAACCAUAAUACACAUAUAAUAACUUUAUAAUAAAUCAUGUUUAUACCAUAGGAUUAUACUAUGGGACAAGGCCUAGGUCAAAUCUAACAUAGCACACCAUGAGAAGUGUUUGUUCCUGCAAAAGGCUAAUGUUACAUUCUGGAUGUAGCUUAAAUAAAAACACCUGCCCACCCGACCAAUCCAGCAACAUCAUCUCAGGAUGUGGAGUGAAAGGAGCCCUGUGGUGUAAAGAUAUUAUCCAUUGUCACCAGAUGAAAUGUCAGUGUGAGCGAGGGCCGAGGAGAGGGUUUCCAUAUAUUACAAACACGAUGCCGGGCUCGGGAGAGAAGUGGAUUGUGGGAAUGUGGGCUAUGUGACAGGGCCUGGGUGCUCAGGAGGACUGAUCAUCUGGCUGCCCAGUGGGGGUAUGCCACUAUGCCAAGCCUCCGAAAUAGCGGCAGGGACUGAGAGAGGGAAGAGGAGAUAGCUUGACAGUGAGCCUGGCCUGAACACAUAGUGCCCCUGUCUCUCUCUCUCCCUCUAUCUCUUUCUCUCUAUCCCUCCCUCCCUCCCUCCACUGCAUUCCUCUGUUGGCCCUGCCCUGUCAGGCUUCCAAUAUCCAAAUAUGAGUUCAAAAAAAUACAAAUACAGUACAAAUACGGUCAGUGCUUUUCAGCCGGUCUCCAUCGACUGUGUCUCGUAUCUCAUAUUUUUGAUUUGUUAAAAAAGUUUUAAAUAUCCAAUAAAUGUCGUUCCACUUCA